GAUGAACGCUGGCGGCGUGCCUAAUACAUGCAAGUCGUACGGAAAGGCCCUUCGGGGUACUCGAGUGGCGGACGGCUGAGUAACGCGUGGGAACGUGCCCCAAAGUGAGGGAUAACGCACCGAAAGGUGUGCUAAUACCGCAUAUGGUCUUCGGAUUAAAGCUUCGGCGCUUUGGGAGCGGCCCGCGUACGAUUAGAUAGUUGGUGAGGUAAUGGCUCACCAAGUCGACGAUCGUUAGCUGGUCUGAGAGGAUGAUCAGCCGGACUGGGACUGAGACACGGCCCAGACUCCUACGGGAGGCAGCAGUAAGGAAUCUUCCACAAUGGGGGCAACCCUGAUGGAGCAACGCCGCGUGCAGGAUGAAGGUUUUCGGAUCGUAAACUGCUUUUAUAAGUGAAGAAUAUGACGGUAACUUAUGAAUAAGGAUCGGCUAACUACGUGCCAGCAGCCGCCGCCG
RNAcentral lists this ribosomal RNA (457 nucleotides) under uncultured bacterium. RNAcentral's name for it is "partial 16S ribosomal RNA". It matches the Rfam family "Bacterial small subunit ribosomal RNA", at positions 28 to 523 of the family's 1533-position model. The record is from RNAcentral.